Molecule: long non-coding RNA, 384 nt
Filed under: Rattus norvegicus (Norway rat)
Lineage: Eukaryota; Metazoa; Chordata; Mammalia; Rodentia; Muridae
Description: long non-coding RNA NONRATT012841
Source: RNAcentral
GGCCCUUGAAAUCAGAAGACUUCUUACAACUCCGGGAGAUAUCCCUGCUAAAGGACAGGCAGCAUCAGAGUCUGACUCCACAGGGAGCCGAAACAUGCCAUGGUGGAGUUACAGGAACAGCCAGCCACAAGGUAGAGAAGCCCUUGGAAGGGUGAGAACAGGAGAUGGGGCUCCUGGGGCUGCAGACAGCUGAUCCUCAGCUGCGUCUUUCCAUACACCAUGGCUCUUCAGGCCACUGUGGUGCCAGGUGACUGAGAUGACAAAUGCCACCAUCCGGAAAAGAAUGCCUAUCCUGAAAGGAACUCAGAACGCAUCAGCCCAAGCCUGUGAAAUGCCUUGAUGGCUUCAAAUGACAGUGGAAUUGUAAUAAACUAUUUCCAAAAC